This 468-nucleotide ribosomal RNA is filed under the name uncultured bacterium. RNAcentral describes it as "partial 16S ribosomal RNA". It matches the Rfam family "Bacterial small subunit ribosomal RNA", at positions 28 to 507 of the family's 1533-position model. The record is from RNAcentral.
GACGAACGCUGGCGGCGUGCUUAACACAUGCAAGUCGAACGGAAAGGCCCUGCUUUUGUGGGGUGCUCGAGUGGCGAACGGGUGAGUAACACGUGAGUAACCUGCCCUUGACUUUGGGAUAACUUCAGGAAACUGGGGCUAAUACCGGAUAGGAGCUCCUGCUGCAUGGUGGGGGUUGGAAAGUUUCGGCGGUUGGGGAUGGACUCGCGGCUUACCAGCUUGUUGGUGUGGUAGUGGCUUACCAAGGCUUUGACGGGUAGCCGGCCUGAGCGGGUGACCGGCCACAUUGGGACUGAGGUACGGCCCAGACUCCUACGGGAGGGAGCAGUGGGGAAUAUUGCACAAUGGGCGGAAGCCUGAUGCAGCAACGCCGCGUGCGGGAUAACGGCCUUCGGGUUGUAAACCGCUUUCGCCUGUGACGAAGCGUGAGUGACGGUAAUGGGUAAAGAGACACCGGCUAACUACGUG